Molecule: ribosomal RNA, 253 nt
Filed under: uncultured bacterium
Lineage: Bacteria
Description: partial 16S ribosomal RNA
Rfam family: Bacterial small subunit ribosomal RNA
Source: RNAcentral
UACGUAGGGUGCGAGCGUUGUCCGGAAUCAUUGGGCGUAAAGCGCGCGUAGGCGGCCCUGUAAGUCCGCUGUGAAAGUCGAAGGCUCAACCUUCGAAAGCCGGUGGAUACUGCGGGGCUAGAGUCCGGAAGAGGCGAGUGGAAUUCCUGGUGUAGCGGUGGAAUGCGCAGAUAUCAGGAGGAACACCAAUAGCGAAGGCAGCUCGCUGGGACGGUACUGACGCUAAGGCGCGAAAGCGUGGGGAGCGAACAGG